CUAAUUUUUGUAUUUUUUGUAGAGAUAGGGUUUCACCAUGUUGACCAGGCUGGUCUUGAACUCCAGACCUCAAGUGACCCACCCACCUUGGCCUCCCAAAGUGUUGGGAUUACAGGCGUGAGCCACUGUGCCCGGCCUCACUGAUGGUUUCUUAGCAAACUUCAGUAGAAUAUUUAGAAUGUGGCCCUGAUCAACUUGAGUGCUGGUAGGAGAUGCUACCUCGCUCAAUCUCUGAGCACCCAGCCCUGUGCCCUGGAUGCUUGGCAGGUGGAGAGAAAGACAGUGUUAUGUGGGCAAGCCUCCAACUCACCAGUUGCAGCAGAGCAUCUGGCUCUCCGUCUGCUGCGGCAGCCCUGUGAGUCAGUCAGACAUGUGGUCCCCAAGUCAGCUUCCCACCUAGCACCCUUGUUCUGCUACAGCUCCCCCACCUGCCCUCCUGCAUUGCCUAGGAUCCCACGCUCCACUUUCAGUCUGCUCUGGGACGUUUGUCUUCUUUGCAGGGGACUAAGUAUAUGACUUAAUGAAUCCUAAAAGGAAAAAAAAGAUGUCAGGAAAAAACAGGCACACAAGAAAUGUUGCAACAUCUCAUCCUUAGCAACUUUGUUUGGUUAGUACUGCAUAACUCACAGCAGAUUCCAAGGCACCUGCCUUGAACAUUGCUACAUGCUCUAGGCAUUAUCAGGAAUGCAGCCAGGGCGCCUGCAAAGUUGUCUCCAGUUUCUGCGUAGGAGGACCAUCAUCCAUAUUGUCUGUGGCUUUGUGUCUGAGUUGGGCGACUGAGCCUGUGACUUCAGACUCCUUGUCUGCCUGAUGGAUACAUUCUGUUUAAGACAUUGCCAUCACAAUUUCAUGAAUGUAACCAAUGAAGAUCUAGCCCUUCCAUGCCUCCUGCUGAACUAUGUCACCUAUGAUAAUAACACCUCUACACAUAGCAUUUUAUACAAAGCAA
Long non-coding RNA from Mandrillus leucophaeus (drill), 949 nucleotides. RefSeq lists it as uncharacterized. The record is from RefSeq and is a predicted model, not a curated record. The transcript has 2 exons. NCBI's taxonomy places the organism in Eukaryota, Metazoa, Chordata, Mammalia, Primates, Cercopithecidae.